GGGCUUGGUGCUUCGUUGGCUAUCCAUGUUAAUUCUGUUAGUCCAUAUUGUCUAGCUGUGAUGAGUGCAUGGAGUGGCUUAGUCCCCAUACCCUGUGUGCCGAUUCAUUGAACCUAACACUUCCUUUCCUGUGGAAAAGCCUCUGCUAUAUCAAGAGACUGGCACACAACAGAACAAAACGAAAACAAAGCAAUACACACACAGAAGUCUCAGCCAGGUAAACCCCAGCAAGAGCAAGAGGCUGCACACCAGAGAAAUGCCAGGCACUCCCUCAAACAACCCAACCAGAGGAACCAGUUCCUGCUAACACAGAGAACGGAUAUCUCUAGCACAUUAACCCAACAUGGAAUGCUGUGGGAAGAGUAACUGCUAAGCUCUCUACUCCACAGAAGGGUAGCACACAUCGCCUUGGAGGAGUCUUAGGCAUGCCCAGCUGAUUCCAAAAAAACAUGGAAAACUGUGUGGCAGAACAGAGCAACUGCAUUCUCUUUUUGCAAAGAAGCAAAUAAAAACCUGCAACAUAUGCACAGCUUUGGAAAAUGAGGCUAGCAAGAACCGCACUACCAAGGAGAAGAACCCCAGUUUCCCAGUAACAAGAUAUAGCGGCUGAAGUGCUGGGAAAAUGUAACAUUUCAGCCACAGGAAAUGUUGUUCCACUAGAAGUCACCUGCCCGUCUGCCUGCCUCCCUGCUUGUUUGUUACCUGCUAGGGAAAGCAACUUCUGCCAAGCUCCCAAGAAGCACUGAUUCCUGAAGACGCACAAAAGCAAUGAAGGGUUUCUCCAGGAAGCUGGCUUCUCCUACAAGAAUGUUAGCCACUUCAGUCCCGGCUGGAAUCUUCUUCUUAAAGUGAUUUUUAAGCUACAAGGAAGGGAAACCCACAGUUGGUGAUGCAUAGCUCAGAGAGCAACAGCGAGGUGACUGAACGAGUGCUGGUGACUGUAUAGAUGAGAGAAAAGCCUCUGCACCAUUAACACUUUUUGUGUGUGUGUGUGUGAAGUGUUCAAACUACCCUCUUAAGGAUGCUACUAGUGACUGCUGCCCAUUCCUUCCACUAAAAAAUAAAAGCAUCACCUGGAAAGCUUCUCAGUCUCAAUGUUAUAGCCAACCCUUCCAAUCACUGCCAGCUGAGUAUCCAAAAUUAAUGGCCAUUCUGGUGAUGUAUUUUCACUCACAAUGAAGCAAGGCAGGGGCUGCUCAUGCAUUUCAUAGCUAUAGCAAAAUUCCACACACAAACAUAUGCGUACACUUUUUAUUCAUCUGACUAAAAGCAUUGAAAUACUUUAUAAUGCAGCAUGGCAGAAGUGGAUCUCUUCAAUGGAUAGGAAGGACCCCCAUGAGUGGAACACUGCACUGUACUGGCAGCUACAGGCACUGCAUAUUAGCUCACUCUUUUUCUGCAGUACCAGUAUAUGGAUCACAUGUGUUGGUAAGUUCCUGGUUAUUUGACUCCUCUAGAUAACCUGUUUAUUCAGCAUUCAUCCUGAUUUUCUUACAGAGUGUUUACACAUCUCCCCGUUAAUCAUUUGUUCAUCCCACACUUUUCAACACACUUCCCUGUCACUUUGCAAACCUCAAAGUGUCCUUUUUUAAAAAGUAGAUUUGUUGGGCUAGGGCAACAGAGUGAUUUAAUCCACUUUGAUUGCACAAACCUAAAGAAUGCAUUUGAAUCCCUCCUGCAAAAUACUCUGGAUGAGAUCUGCAAUGCACAGCAAGCGAGAAAGGGGGUGGUGGUCGGUUUCAGCCUGCCUCCGGAAGCUUUGUCAAUUUCAUUCUACUUGCUGUGGUUUUUGCUUCAAAUCAGAAAAGCAUAUAUUUGUUUAAGUGUAAUAUCGCAAAUACAAACAAGAAAAGGGCUGCUGGUCGGUUUCAGGCCUGCUCCGGAAAGCUUUGUCAAUUUCAUUCUCCAUGGGAAGGGAAGGAAAGGGAGGAGGGGGGGGUGACAUGUUUCUUGCUUUUUUGGAGAAAUAAGUGCAAUUGCCAGCGUGUGUAUCUCCUUAAAUAUCAAUAAAUGCAGAAAAGCAUACAUUCGUUUAAGUGUAAUAUCGCAAAUACAAACAAGGCAGGCGUGAAACCGACCAGCAGCCUUUCCUUCCCAGGCGAGAACUCCUUUACAGCCAUAUUGUGCUUCGUUGCAAAGGGGGAGAGGAGCAUACGUAAUUUUUUUGCUAACCAAUUGGUUG
Molecule: long non-coding RNA, 2182 nt
Organism: Rhineura floridana
Lineage: Eukaryota; Metazoa; Chordata; Lepidosauria; Squamata; Rhineuridae
Exons: 3
Source: RefSeq, a predicted model, not a curated record